Molecule: ribosomal RNA, 216 nt
Filed under: Escherichia coli 2-222-05_S3_C3
Lineage: Bacteria; Pseudomonadati; Pseudomonadota; Gammaproteobacteria; Enterobacterales; Enterobacteriaceae
Description: partial 16S ribosomal RNA
Rfam family: Bacterial large subunit ribosomal RNA
Source: RNAcentral
CAAGGCUGAGGCGUGAUGACGAGGCACUACGGUGCUGAAGCAACAAAUGCCCUGCUUCCAGGAAAAGCCUCUAAGCAUCAGGUAACAUCAAAUCGUACCCCAAACCGACACAGGUGGUCAGGUAGAGAAUACCAAGGCGCUUGAGAGAACUCGGGUGAAGGAACUAGGCAAAAUGGUGCCGUAACUUCGGGAGAAGGCACGCUGAUAUGUAGGUGA